GGAUGUGAGGGCGAUCUGGCUGCGACAUCUGUCACCCCAUUGAUCGCCAGGGUUGAUUCGGCUGAUCUGGUUGGCUAGGCGGGUGUCCCCUUCCUCCCUCAACGAUCCAUGUGCGUCCCUCCCGAAGCUGCGCGCUCAGUCAAAGAGGACGACCACCCCCGAUAGAGGAGGACCAUUCCUCGGUCAAGGGUAUACGAGUAGCUGCGCUCCCCUGCUAGAACCUCCAAACAAGCUCUCAAAAUAAAAGAAGGUGUGGUACAGAUGGACCAAAAAAAUCUUUUCUACUUCAGUAACCUAACUUCAACAGACUUAC
This 313-nucleotide small nuclear RNA is filed under the name Octodon degus (degu). Its description in RNAcentral is "7SK RNA (ENSODEG00000022913.1)". It matches the Rfam family "7SK RNA". From Rfam's summary of the family: 7SK was discovered as an abundant small nuclear RNA in the mid-70s but a possible function has only recently been suggested. Two independent studies have found that 7SK RNA binds the CDK9/cyclin T complex (known as elongation factor P-TEFb). Lineage: Eukaryota; Metazoa; Chordata; Mammalia; Rodentia; Octodontidae. The record is from Rfam by way of RNAcentral.